AACCGCCGUAUGCGUGACGCGCAUGUACGGUGGUGUGAGAGGGGGCGGGCCGUAAGGUCCGCCCCUAUCUCGAU
RNAcentral lists this unclassified non-coding RNA (74 nucleotides) under Solimonas aquatica. The record is from RNAcentral. Lineage: Bacteria; Pseudomonadati; Pseudomonadota; Gammaproteobacteria; Nevskiales; Nevskiaceae.